GAGUUGGUCUAGGGGUAUGAUUCUCGCUUAGGGGGCGUGAGGUCCCGGGUUCACAUCCCGGACGAGCC
This 68-nucleotide transfer RNA is filed under the name Dryococelus australis. RNAcentral describes it as "tRNA-OTHER". Lineage: Eukaryota; Metazoa; Arthropoda; Insecta; Phasmatodea; Phasmatidae. The record is from RNAcentral.